This 200-nucleotide ribosomal RNA is filed under the name uncultured bacterium. Its description in RNAcentral is "partial 16S ribosomal RNA". It matches the Rfam family "Bacterial small subunit ribosomal RNA", at positions 8 to 238 of the family's 1533-position model. The record is from RNAcentral.
AGAGUUUGAUCAUGGCUCAGAACGAACGCUGGCGGCAGGCCUAACACAUGCAAGUCGAGCGCCCAGCAAUGGGAGCGGCGGACGGGUGAGUAACACGUGGGAAUAUGCCCUUUGGUUCAGAACAACUCAGGGAAACUUGAGCUAAUACUGGAUGAGCCGGUAACGGGAAAGAUUUAUCGCCAAAGGAUUAGCCCGCGUCC